UACGGAGGGUGCGAGCGUUAAUCGGAAUUACUGGGCGUAAAGCGUGCGUAGGUGGUUCGUUAAGUCUGAUGUGAAAGCCCUGGGCUCAACCUGGGAAUGGCAUUGGAAACUGGCGACCUAGAGUGCGGUAGAGGGUAGUGGAAUUCCCGGUGUAGCAGUGAAAUGCGUAGAGAUCGGGAGGAACAUCCGUGGCGAAGGCGACUACCUGGACCAGCACUGACACUGAGGCACGAAAGCGUGGGGAGCAAACAGG
RNAcentral lists this ribosomal RNA (253 nucleotides) under uncultured bacterium. Its description in RNAcentral is "partial 16S ribosomal RNA". It matches the Rfam family "Bacterial small subunit ribosomal RNA", at positions 524 to 776 of the family's 1533-position model. The record is from RNAcentral.